Marmota monax (woodchuck) is the source of this 476-nucleotide long non-coding RNA. RefSeq lists it as uncharacterized. NCBI's taxonomy places the organism in Eukaryota, Metazoa, Chordata, Mammalia, Rodentia, Sciuridae. The record is from RefSeq and is a predicted model, not a curated record. The transcript has 3 exons.
CUGAGUGGACAAAUAGCCGGUGUGUCACAACACUGUAUGAUCAGUGAGUUCAGCUGUGUGAGCUCAGCUGCACUCAGUGAGGAGCGGAUGUGAAAUCGCUGCCGUGGUGAAGGGUCUCAUGAAGUUGCCCAAACUGGCCUCAAACUUGCAAUCCUCCUGCAUCAGCCUCCUGAGUAGCUGGAUUUACAGGAACAGUGGCACAUGCCUGCAAUCUCAACAACUCCAGAGGCUGAAGCAGGGGGAUGACAAGUUCGAAACCAGCUUCAGCAACUUAGUGAGACGUUGUCUCAAAAUAAAAAAUAAAAAAUAAAAAAACUGGGGAUGUAGCUCAGUGAUAGUAUUCCCCUGGAGUCAAUCCCCAAUACCACAUAAAACACGAGUUUUUCUCUCACCAUCUUUCUAUGUUCCUGUGAAAUAAAUGUCUUUUCUGACCAAAGGUCUUUAGAGAAUCAUGAAUUUCAAAUAAAUGACUCCGA